GACGAACGCUGGCGGCGUGCCUAAUACAUGCAAGUCGAGCGCAGGAAGCCGUCUGAACCCUUCGGGGGGACGACGGUGGAAUGAGCGGCGGACGGGUGAGUAACACGUAAAGAACCUGCCCAUAGGUCAGGGAUAACCACGAGAAAUCGGGGCUAAUACCGGAUGUGUCAUCGGACCGCAUGGUCCGCUGAUGAAAGGCGCUCCGGCGUCGCCCAUGGAUGGCUUUGCGGUGCAUUAGCUAGUUGGUGGGGCAACGGCCCACCGAGGCGACGAUGCAUAGCCGACCUGAGAGGGUGAUCGGCCACACGGGGACUGAGACACGGCCCAGACUCCUACGGGAGGCAGCAGUAGGGAAUCUUCCACAAUGGACGAAAGUCUGAUGGAGCAACGCGGCGUGAACGAUGAAGGCUUUCGGGUCGUAAAGUUCUGUUGUAAGGGAAGAACAAGGGCCGCAGGCAAUGGCGGCACCUUGACGGUACCUUGCGAGAAAGCCACGGCUAACUACGUGCCAGCCGCCGCGGUAA
This 524-nucleotide ribosomal RNA is filed under the name uncultured bacterium. RNAcentral describes it as "partial 16S ribosomal RNA". It matches the Rfam family "Bacterial small subunit ribosomal RNA", at positions 28 to 523 of the family's 1533-position model. The record is from RNAcentral.